UACGUAGGGUGCGAGCGUUGUCCGGAUUUAUUGGGCGUAAAGAGCUCGUAGGCGGUUUGUCGCGUCGGCCGUGAAAUCUCCACGCUUAACGUGGAGCGUGCGGUCGAUACGGGCAGACUUGAGUUCGGUAGGGGAGACUGGAAUUCCUGGUGUAGCGGUGAAAUGCGCAGAUAUCAGGAGGAACACCGGUGGCGAAGGCGGGUCUCUGGGCCGAUACUGACGCUGAGGCGCGAAAGCGUGGGGAGCGAACAGG
RNAcentral lists this ribosomal RNA (253 nucleotides) under uncultured bacterium. RNAcentral's name for it is "partial 16S ribosomal RNA". It matches the Rfam family "Bacterial small subunit ribosomal RNA", at positions 524 to 776 of the family's 1533-position model. The record is from RNAcentral.